This 20-nucleotide ribosomal RNA is filed under the name Phytophthora cryptogea. RNAcentral's name for it is "partial 28S ribosomal RNA". Lineage: Eukaryota; Oomycota; Peronosporomycetes; Peronosporales; Peronosporaceae. The record is from RNAcentral. RNAcentral also lists the same sequence under 8 other names.
UUGGACCUGAUAUCAGGCAA